Protopterus annectens (West African lungfish) is the source of this 3265-nucleotide long non-coding RNA. RefSeq lists it as uncharacterized. The transcript is spliced from 2 exons. NCBI's taxonomy places the organism in Eukaryota, Metazoa, Chordata, Ceratodontiformes, Protopteridae. The record is from RefSeq and is a predicted model, not a curated record.
UGCAAAAAUUUGAGGAAAGAUUGUUCUGCAUAAUCAAGGACAGUUGAGAGGUAUGCUUGGGUGCUGUGUACACCUUACAAAUCAAUCUCAAAAGGUGAUGGAUAUGGCUAAAUGUGCACUGCAAAUUACUAAGAGAAGGCUGAGAAAGAUGCAAUUUAAAUCAGUACUGUUAGUUAAUAAAACAACGUGGCUUUCUAAAGUGCACUUCAGCCAUACGUCUUAACAAGGGGUAAUUAUUUUACCAAUUAGGUACGCCCCUGCCUUGGUGAUGUGAAGGGUUUUGGCUCUCAUUUGUGAAGUGUCUCUGUUCAGUAUCUGUGGUGGAUGUUUACUAAGACAUAAAAAUAAACAGGGGGGAAAUGGUUGUGUGUGUUUAGUAGUGUGAAAAUGCAGUUUGAUGUUAGCUGUAAGACACUAGCAGUGGUUUGACAUGCAAGCAGCAGUGAAUUAUUGUAUAUGGGGCAAGGGAAUGUAUUAGCCCUUUCCAGGUGUCUGACUUUUCCUCACAGUUAUGGGGCAAUAAAGUAAGGGGAUACAGGGGAACAGGAGGGUUGCAUCUGAAAAAAUUUAGUUUUAUUUUUUGUACUGUUGAAAAUCUGCGUUACUUCUGUGACUACAUGAAUCUGUUUUGACAUAUUUGCACACUCACUCACUCCUGCUUCAUUGUCUAUGAAGCACAUUAUAAACAUCUGAAAAUCUGAGAAGGAAAGUGAAAGACCCGUGUUAGCUCUUCAGUAGAGCCGAACAACUUCCAAAAUCCUGUACUUAUAUUUGGAAUUUGAAGCUUCUGCUUCCUUCCCUAACUUACCUGACCUGUUGUCGUAAAUGGAAGAGUGAUGCCUCCUCCCCUAGCUGCUAACCAACUUAGCAGCUAUGUUUGAGCCAAGUGCAGGCAAAUAGGAUUGCUUUGUGACUGAAAUGAGACCCAGUGGCAUAAGCCCACAUCAAUGACAGUGGCAACUCUCUCCUGAAAUGUAUCACACAGGAAAUGUGGAAUGAAGAGGAUACCAAGGGUAGCAUCUCAGAAGUCCCUUAGGAAACAAUAGCAGCACUGAGCAACCCAAGCCAGAAAUGAAUGCUGCUACCACUGAGUUAGAGUUUAGAAGGUCUCUGAACCCACUGAUGUGUUAACAUUUAAAACAAGUAAAUGUGUAACCUAUGUUAGCAAUGAACACUGUUAGAGUCCUAGAACGUGGAUACCAAACAUAUACAGACGUAAGCUGCGAGCAGCUGAAGCACAUAAAACCUAGGUUAGUACCCUUCCUUAAGGGGCAAGGCACACCACAUGCAGCUGUUGGGUUAGCACCUUUCCAGAAGGAGUACUGGGUGCAUCUAUGGAGUCAGAAAUCUUUUUGAAAAAACACAGUAUACCAAGUACAUCAGUUGAGUCAAUACCCUUCCAAAAAGAGUAUCAAGUGAAUCACUGAGUUACUGCCCUUCCACAGAGAGUAUCAGGUGCAUCUGUUGGGUUAGUACCCUUCCUGUAGGAGUAUCAGGUGCAUCCAUUGGGUUAGCACACUUCCUGAAGGAGUAUCAGGUGCAUCCGUUGGGUUAGCACCCUUCCUGAAGGAGUAUCAGGUGCAUCUGUUGGGUUAGUACCUUUCCUGAAGGAGUAUCAGGUGCAUCCAUUGGGUUAGCACACUUCCUGAAGGAGUAUCAGGUGCAUCCGUUGGGUUAGCACCCUUCCUGAAGGAGUAUCAGGUGCAUCUGUUGGGUUAGUAUCCUUCCCGAAGGAGUAUUAGGUUAGUACCCUUCCUGAAGGAGUAUCAGGUCCAUCUUUGGGCUAGUACCUUUCCUGAAGGUUAUGGUCAUGCCCUCUGCCAUCUUCUCAAGUUUUUUUCUUAUUUCAUGACAUGUGACCACUAUCGGAAGCACAAAUGUUACACAGCAAAAAAACAGGGCUUUAAAACUUAUUUUGGACAUAGCGUGUAAUGCAGAAAGGGGAUCUUAUGAAGAUUUAAAAAGUGAAUGCAGAUGUGCAGAACAGCUUCCAACACCAAGCAUACAUCUCCUGAGGGCUAGGAACUAAGAUUGGACAUGCAUUAUUAUUUUUUGGGGGAGAGAAAUAAGAAAGCUUGCAAAACACUAUUCUCGCAUACUGCAGUUUUUAUGAUUUUAGACAGGCUUCAAUAUUUCCAAGUUUCCAAAAAGAGAAAAAAAAAUGACAUGAAAUAAAAAAGAAUCAGUAAAUCUAUAUUUAUUAGUUUGCAACUCAGUGAAUUAAAAACUGCAGCCAUGCAUAACGUCUCUGUGUAAUAUGUCUAUAAUGCAUUAAAUUUAAUAGGUUCAUAGGGGUACCCCAUCUACUUACAAAAUAGUUUAAAUUCUGAUAAAUUGCUGGCAUUUCAUAGGGGAGAUCCAAGGAAAGGGAUACUUGCAUAACUUGUAAAACUAGCCAGCUGUACUGGCACUGAGUGAGAAAACCCUGAGUAUAAUUCAGGUAACCUGAGUUUGACUAUCACUCGGGCAUCAGCUGGAGUUAAAUGGCGAGAGAGAGAGGCGUGACAUGGUUAUGCUGGCUCACCACUCUUUUUUUGGGGGGGGGGUGUCUGGGGUGCUUGUUCCCACUAAAUGAACCACAGUGGAGACUAGGGGUCUUAUGGCAGUACUUGCUCAGAGGGGGGUCAGUUUUGAAACAUCACUCACUUAUGGAAGUGCAUGCUCUCACCGAUACCCAAUGUAUCCUGAAUUUGGGACAAACUAGCAUAAACAGUAGGAGUCAGAGAAUUAAAAGUGAAACACCCUCACCUUAGAAGGGUAAUGGGUUUUCUGUCUGCCCUCAUCCCCCACACCUAGGAGGGGGUGAGUGGGCCACAGGGCUCCUUUUUCAUGAGGAGAGGGCAUGGACUGCACUGAACAAGCAAGAGAAAUGGAGUCUGACAGUCACAGCAGCAGGAUGGAAAAAAUGGCCCCAUCUAUGAAAUUUGCAGCAUUUUCAUAUGAAGAAGGCAGAGUGAAUUAGCACAUUUUUAUUUUGUAUUUGUCUCAGACAAAAUAUAGUAGACUCGUUCUUUUGUACUUAGGGAGGCUUGACAGCUUUUCUGUAGCAUUAGGGAAGAUUUUGUGAAACAAGGGAAUGGAUAUUUUCAUGAAAUAACUGUGCCAUUUAAAAAUUUAACUGGGAAAGGUAAAGAACUAAUAAACGGUUGUGGGUCAAGCAGACAAAAAAAAGUUAUGAGAACAGUGCAGCUAACCAGGGUUAAGAAAGCUUGACACAAUGAUAAGGGAAAGCUGGGGCUGAUCAGUCAAAGAAAUUGACCCCCCC